GUACCGUUCAAAUAGGGCGGUACCUUGACGGUACCUAACCAGAAAGCCACGGCUAACUACGUGCCACCCAGCCGCGGUAAUACGUAGGUGGCAAGCGUUGUCCGGAAUUAUUGGGCGUAAAGGGCUCGCAGGCGGUUUCUUAAGUCUGAUGUGAAAGCCCCCGGCUCAACCGGGGAGGGUCAUUGGAAACUGGGGAACUUGAGUGCAGAAGAGGAGAGUGGAAUUCCACGUGUAGCGGUGAAAUGCGUAGAGAUGUGGAGGAACACCAGUGGCGAAGGCGACUCUCUGGUCUGUAACUGACGCUGAGGAGCGAAAGCGUGGGGAGCGAACAGGAUUAGAUACCCUGGUAGUCCACGCCGUAAACGAUGAGUGCUAAGUGUUAGGGGGUUUCCGCCCCUUAGUGCUGCAGCUAACGCAUUAAGCACUCCGCCUGGGGAGUACGGUCGCAAGACUGAAACUCAAAGGAAUUGACGG
Molecule: ribosomal RNA, 474 nt
Filed under: uncultured Bacillus sp.
Lineage: Bacteria; Bacillati; Bacillota; Bacilli; Caryophanales; Bacillaceae
Description: bacterial SSU rRNA
Rfam family: Bacterial small subunit ribosomal RNA
Source: RNAcentral